Molecule: ribosomal RNA, 351 nt
Filed under: Triticum aestivum (bread wheat)
Lineage: Eukaryota; Viridiplantae; Streptophyta; Magnoliopsida; Poales; Poaceae
Description: partial small subunit ribosomal RNA
Source: RNAcentral
AUGAGGUCGUCGAUUAACCGGCCGCCGACGCCGGACCAGGAGGAGGACGAGGAGGAGGAGCAAGGGAAGGAGGCUUCUCUCGGAGAUAUCAUCAACCUCAAGUUGGUGGAGAGCGGCGAGAAGGAGAGGCUGAUGGAGCUUCUCCGGGAGCGGCUCGUCGAGUGCGGCUGGAGGGAUGACAUGAAGGCUCUCUGCAGGGCUUAUGCAAGGAAAAAGGGAAGAAAUAAUGUAACAUUAGAUGAUCUUAUUCAUGUUAUUACUCCAAAAGGAAGAGCCUCGGUGCCCGAUGCGGUGAAGGCAGAGCUGCUGCAACGCAUCCGAUCCUUUCUCAUGUCUUCCUCGCUUUGGUAG